RNAcentral lists this ribosomal RNA (468 nucleotides) under uncultured bacterium. Its description in RNAcentral is "partial 16S ribosomal RNA". It matches the Rfam family "Bacterial small subunit ribosomal RNA", at positions 28 to 507 of the family's 1533-position model. The record is from RNAcentral.
GACGAACGCUGGCGGCGUGCUUAACACAUGCAAGUCGAACGGAAAGGCCCUGCUUUUGUGGGGUGCUCGAGUGGCGAACGGGUGAGUAACACGUGAGUAACCUGCCCUUGACUUUGGGAUAACUUCAGGAAACUGGGGCUAAUACCGGAUAGGAGCUCCUGCUGCAUGGUGGGGGUUGGAAAGUUUCGGCGGUUGGGGAUGGACUCGCGGCUUAUCAGCUUGUUGGUGGGGUAGUGGCUUACCAAGGCUUUGACGGGUAGCCGGCCUGAGAGGGUGACCGGCCACAUUGGGCCUGUGAUACGGCCCAGACUCCUACGGGAGGCAGCAGUGGGGAAUAUUGCACAAUGGGCGGAAGCCUGAUACAGCAACGCCGCGUGCGGGAUGACGGCCUUCGGGUUGUAAACCGCUUUCGCCUGUGACGAAGCGUGAGUGACGGUAAUUAGUAAAGAAGCACCGGCUAACUACGUG